RNAcentral lists this long non-coding RNA (259 nucleotides) under Homo sapiens (human). RNAcentral's name for it is "LNC_000258". Lineage: Eukaryota; Metazoa; Chordata; Mammalia; Primates; Hominidae. The record is from RNAcentral.
CAGGCAGGUAUGCACCUGGCCACGACAGCAUACAGAGGAGACUUGGACAUGUGAAAAUGGAGAGUGGACGUCAACAUGAAAUUAAACAAGAUCAAGAGUAAAAGAACUCCUGUGGAUGGAGUCUGGAGACAGAGCUUCCGGCUGAGGCCUCACAGCCCAGACAACCUCUGACUGUCCAGCAGCUGCAAAACGAUGGCGCCCACCAUGGGCACAGAGGAGCCAGGAGACAAACGCGGCCUCCUGAGUUCCCAGGGAAGAG